Molecule: ribosomal RNA, 408 nt
Filed under: uncultured bacterium
Lineage: Bacteria
Description: partial 16S ribosomal RNA
Rfam family: Bacterial small subunit ribosomal RNA
Source: RNAcentral
GACGAACGCUGGCGGCGUGCUUAACACAUGCAAGUCGAACGAAGUUGCGAACGGGUGAGUAAUACUUGGUUAACCUGCCCUCCUUUUUGGGAUAAGCAUUGGAAACGGGGUCUAAUACCGAAUAAAGGGGGAUGGGCUCGCGGCCUAUCAGCUUGUUGGUGGGGUGAUGGCCAACCAGGGCGGUGCCGGGUAGACGGCCUGGGAGGGUGUCCGGCCACAUUGAGAGUGAGAUACGUCCCAGACUCCUACGGGAGGCAGCAGGGGGGAAUAUUGGACAAUGGGCGAAAGCCUGAUCCAGCCAUGCCGGGUGUGUGAAGAAGGUCUUCGGAUUUUAAAGCACUUUAAGUUGGGAGGCGGUACCAACAUAAUAAGCACCGGCUAACUACGUGCCAGCAGCCGCGGUAAUUC